CAAAGGUUUGGUCCUAGCCUUACUGUUAAUUUUUAUUAGACCUACACAUGCAAGUCUCCGCAAUCCGGUGAGUACGCCCUUGAAACUCGACCCCGAGUUUUAGGGAGCAGGCAUCAGGCACACUCUCGUAGUAGCCCAUGACACCUCGUCUUAACCACACCCCCAAGGGAUACAGCAGUGACUAACAUUGAGCAAUAAACGAAAGUUUGACUAAAUCAUAAUAAAUAAGGGUUGGUAAAUCUCGUGCCAGCCACCGCGGUCAUACGAUUAACCCGAAUUAACAGAAGAACGGCGUAAAGUGUGUUUAAGCAAAAUAACUCUAUAAUAAGGUUAAAAAACAACUGUGCUGUAAUACGCCCUAGUUGUAAUUAAAAUACGCAACUAACGUGACUUUACCCCCUGCUGAAGACACUAAAGCUAAGGUCCAAACUGGGAUUAGAGACCCCACUAUGCUUAGCCAUAAACCGAGGUAAUUCAAUAACGAAAUUACUCGCCAGAGAACUACGAGCCACCGCUUAAAACUCAAAGGACUUGGCGGUGCCCUAGACCCUCCUAGAGGAGCCUGUUCUAUAAUCGAUAAACCCCGAUACACCUCACCCCUUCUAGCUUGACAGUCUAUAUACCGCCAUCGUCAGCUCACCCCAGCAGGGCCCAAAAGUGAGCAGAAUCAUGAAACCAUAAAAACGUUAGGUCAAGGUGUAGCAUAUGAAGGGGGAAGUAAUGGGCUACAUUUUCUACCCUAGAACAUAACGGAGUGUCUAUUGAAACAAAGAUAUGAAGGAGGAUUUAGCAGUAAAUUAAGAAUAGAGAGCUUAAUUGAAAAUGGCAAUAGGGUGUGCACACACCGCCCGUCACCCUCCUCAACAAAGUAAUCACCCAAUACCUAAUAAAAGUACGCCAGAAAGAGGAGAAAAGUCGUAACAUGGUAAGUGUACCGGAAGGUGCACUUGGAAUAUC
This 957-nucleotide non-coding RNA is filed under the name Antechinomys laniger. Its description in RNAcentral is "partial small subunit ribosomal RNA". It matches the Rfam family "Bacterial small subunit ribosomal RNA". The record is from RNAcentral. Lineage: Eukaryota; Metazoa; Chordata; Mammalia; Dasyuromorphia; Dasyuridae.